AUGGAGAGUUUGAUCCUGGCUCAGGAUGAACGCUGGCGGCGUGCUUAACACAUGCAAGUCGUACGUGAUCUCCGAGCAAUCGGAGUGAAAGUGGCGAACGGGUGAGUAACGCGUAGAUAACUUGCCUAAAAGUUUGGGAUAGCUUCGGGAAACUGAAAUUAAUACCAAAUGUGGCAAUAAGUUUUUUCUUCUUGUUGUUAAAGGGGGCUUCGGCUCUCGCUUUUAGAUAGGUCUGCGUACUAUUAGCUUGUUGGUGAGGUAAUGGCUCACCAAGGCGACGAUAGUUAGCUGGUCUGAGAGGAUGAUCAGCCACACUGGGACUGAGAUACGGCCCAGACUCCUACGGGAGGCAGCAGUGGGGAAUUUUGCGCAAUGGGCGAAAGCCUGACGCAGCAACGCCGCGUGACCGAAGAAGCAUUUAGGUGUGUAAAGGUCUGUCGUGGGGGAGGAAAAAGGCAGAUGUGAAUAAUAUCUGCUGUUGACAGUACCCCAUAAGAAAGCUCCGGCUAACUCCGUGCCAGCAGCCGCGGUAAUACGGGGGGAGCAAGCGUUAUCCGGAAUCACUGGGCGUAAAGGGCGCGUAGGCGGAUUUUUAAGUCAAAUCUGAAAGUUAACAGCUCAACUGUUAAAGUGGGUUUGAAACUGAUUAUCUUGAGUGCGAGAGAGGAAAGCGGAAUUCCUGGUGUAGCGGUGAAAUGCGUAGAUAUCAGGAGGAACACCGGUGGCGAAGGCGGCUUUCUGGCUCGUAACUGACGCUGAGGCGCGAAAGCGUGGGUAGCAAACAGGAUUAGAUACCCUGGUAGUCCACGCCCUAAACGUUGUAUACUUG
RNAcentral lists this ribosomal RNA (829 nucleotides) under Fidelibacterota bacterium. RNAcentral's name for it is "bacterial SSU rRNA". It matches the Rfam family "Bacterial small subunit ribosomal RNA", at positions 1 to 819 of the family's 1533-position model. The record is from RNAcentral. Lineage: Bacteria; Pseudomonadati; Fidelibacterota.